Molecule: ribosomal RNA, 366 nt
Filed under: uncultured phototrophic eukaryote
Lineage: Eukaryota
Description: SSU rRNA
Rfam family: Bacterial small subunit ribosomal RNA
Source: RNAcentral
GACGGGAGAUGCAAGCGUUAUUCGGAUUUAUUGGGCGUAAAGGGUUUGUAGGUUGUUGGUUAAGUCUAUGGUCAAAUUCCGAAGCUCAACUUCGGGCCGGCACUAGAAACUAAUCAACUUGAGUACGUUAGAGGCAGGGGGAAUUCCCAGUGUAGCGGUGAAAUGCGUAGAUAUUGGGAGGAACAUCAAUGGCGAAGGCACCCUGCUAGGCCGAUACUGACACUGAAAAACGAAAGCUAGGGGAGCAAAUGGGAUUAGAUACCCCAGUAGUCCUAGCUGUAAACGAUGGAUACUAGAUGUUGGAUUAAUACAGUAUCGUAGCUAACGCGUUAAGUAUCCCGCCUGGGGAGUACGCUCGCAAGGGUG